Molecule: ribosomal RNA, 362 nt
Filed under: Loxophyllum utriculariae
Lineage: Eukaryota; Ciliophora; Litostomatea; Pleurostomatida; Litonotidae
Description: partial small subunit ribosomal RNA
Rfam family: Eukaryotic small subunit ribosomal RNA
Source: RNAcentral
GCUUGUCUCAAAGAUUAAGCCAUGCAUGUCUUAGUGUAAAUAACUCUUAUGAAACUGCGAAUGGCUCAUUAAAUCAGUUAUCAAAUACGUGAUGGUCGCCUACUACAUGGAUAACCGUAGUAAUUCUAGAGCUAAUACAUGCCAAGGUCGUAAGACUGCAUUUAUUAGAUAUACCAAGUCGGUGAAUCAUAAUAACUUAGCAAAUCGAAACAACGUUUCGAUAAAUCAUUCAAGUUUCUGACCUAUCAUGCUGGAUGGUAGUGUAUUGGACUACCAAGGCAGUCACGGGUAACGGAGAAUUAGGGUUCGAUUCCGGAGAAGGAGCCUGAGAAACGGCUACUACAUCUAAGGAAGGCAGCAGG